Molecule: long non-coding RNA, 897 nt
Organism: Suricata suricatta (meerkat)
Lineage: Eukaryota; Metazoa; Chordata; Mammalia; Carnivora; Herpestidae
Exons: 3
Source: RefSeq, a predicted model, not a curated record
CCCCGUCGGAAAGAAAUUCCACGCCCAGUGGCCCCAAGGCCUGGGGUAGUGAAGGAUGCCUUCCUGAAGCUGGCAGCUGCCAUAGCAGAAAGAGCACAGGACCUCAGAAAGAUCUAGAGGCCCAGAUGCUGGGCUGGAUUUGCCACUGGCAAGGUCAUAUUGCCUCCUUGAGCUUUUGUUUUGUCACUGGCAGGUGGAGAUAAUGAUCCUGCUCUAUGAUAAGGUAAGGAUAAAUAAUAUAACACACAAUGUCACCCAGCAAAUAGUCAACACUAAUGGACUCUGAAAGCAGUAAGGGCACCAGAAGUCUUGACCUUUGAUGGGUAUGUACAUCAGUAGCUGGCUUCUUCUGUUCCUACCAGUGGGGGGAUUGAGACAGGUCCCGAGGACGGCGGGAGAGCUUGGCUCUCAUUGUGACGCUGUGAUCACAGAAGACCCAUCAUGGAGACGUAGAGUUGCAGUGGGGUGUCUCGCCAUUAGGAUCUGGCCAGUGGGUGAAUGCAGACAAGCGAGCAGGCCUUGGUAAUAGAGACAGAGGAAAUGAAGAGCUGUUGCCAGGACCGCCCAACUGAGAAAAUAUGAACAAGAUGCUUCAUGCCGCUUGAUGAACUCCCAACUCCUGCAGCUCCAGGGAAGGCAGGAAGAUGGGCCACUGUCCCAGGCACUCCCAUAUUUGUUCUCAGCUGGGCUUCACCCGACUGUGGGAAGUCCCUGGCUGUGGUUGCUAUAAUGUCCUGGCUCCCAGGGUUCUAAAUUGCCCCAUUCAAGAGGCAGAGCAACACAGGAGUGAUAUGAAGAGGGCACCAGGUUCUAGACCAGGCUUCCAGCCAACAAGCUAUAUGACCUUGGGUGAGUCCGUUCACCCCUUCAGGAUGUAAUAAGAUUGUUGGACUCCUG